This 254-nucleotide ribosomal RNA is filed under the name uncultured bacterium. Its description in RNAcentral is "partial 16S ribosomal RNA". It matches the Rfam family "Bacterial small subunit ribosomal RNA", at positions 524 to 776 of the family's 1533-position model. The record is from RNAcentral.
UACGGGGGGGGCAAGCGUUGUUCGGAAUUACUGGGCGUAAAGGGCGCGUAGGCGGCCAAGUAAGUCAGAUGUGAAAUCCCUCGGCUUAACCGGGGAACUGCGUCUGAUACUGGAUGGCUUGAGUUUGGGAGAGGGAUGCGGAAUUCCAGGUGUAGCGGUGAAAUGCGUAGAUAUCUGGAGGAACACCGGUGGCGAAGGCGGCAUCCUGGACCAACACUGAAGCUGAGUGAGCGAAAGCCAGGGGAGCAAACGGG